AUUAUGACGUUCGGUGGGAAUUAGCUUGAAAAGCUAUUAAAAUUGUUCCGGUGAAGUUCGGGGAAACAUUCGAGUGUUUUCAGUGCGUAUUGGGCAUGAAAACGGAUUCGGGAAGCUAUACUGGACUUUAGCCUAAAUCCGGCAAAGUACAAGUGAGAAGAUGGUUUAAACAUGCUCAAAAAUGUGUUUUGAGGGUUUUGGAAUGGUUGGAAGUGGAUUAGAGGCUCAAGGAGCGAAAAUGAGGAUUUUUGAAAAAUGCUGAUUUUUGAGCUGUGAGUGUAGUACACUGAACUUUAACAAAUUGUAAGGAUCUAGUGUUGGAAUAGUAAUUGGAACUAUUCU
RNAcentral lists this long non-coding RNA (342 nucleotides) under Ananas comosus (pineapple). RNAcentral describes it as "long non-coding RNA (ACOM_LNC029264)". The record is from RNAcentral. Lineage: Eukaryota; Viridiplantae; Streptophyta; Magnoliopsida; Poales; Bromeliaceae.